UUAGAGGAAGUAAAAGUCGUAACAAGGUUUCCGUAGGUGAACCUGCGGAAGGAUCAUUACCGAAUUGUCAACAAGAGUUGUUGCUGGUCCCUGUAUGGGGGCAUGUGCACGCUCUGUUUACACAUCCACUCACACCUGUGCACCCUCUGUAGUUCUAUGGCCUGGGUGGGCUCCCGCCCUCCUGCUGUGGUUCUACGUCUUUACACACACACUACAAUGAAGUCUCAUGGAAUGUAUGUCGCGUUUAACGCAAUGAAAUACAACUUUCAGCAACGGAUCUCUUGGCUCUCGCAUCGAUGAAGAACGCAGCGAAAUGCGAUAAGUAAUGUGAAUUGCAGAAUUCAGUGAAUCAUCGAAUCUUUGAACGCACCUUGCGCCCUUUGGCUAUUCCGAAGGGCAUGCCUGUUUGAGUAUCAUGAACACCUCAACUCUCAUGGCUUGCCAUGAUGAGCUUGGACUUUGGGGGUCUUGUUGGCCUGUGAGCCAGCUCCUCUUAAAUGAAUUAGCUUGCCGGUGUUUGGUGGCGUCACAGGUGUGAUAACUAUCUACGCUUGUGGUUUCCCACCAGGUAACCUUCAGCAAUGGAGGUUCACUGGAGCUUAUAAAUUUCUCUCCUCAGCGAGGACAGAUUUUGACCAUUUGAUCUCAAAUCAGGUAGGACUACCCGCUGAACUUAAGCAUAUCAAUAAGCCGGGA
RNAcentral lists this ribosomal RNA (696 nucleotides) under uncultured Tomentella. RNAcentral describes it as "eukaryotic LSU rRNA". The stretch from base 262 to 416 matches the Rfam family "5.8S ribosomal RNA". The record is from RNAcentral. Lineage: Eukaryota; Fungi; Basidiomycota; Agaricomycetes; Thelephorales; Thelephoraceae.